UACGUAGGGCGCGAGCGUCGUCCGGAAUUAUUGGGCGUAAAGAGCUCGUAGGCGGCCGGUUGCGUCUGCUGUGAAAUCCCGGGGCUUAACCCCGGGCGUGCAGUGGAUACGGGCCGGCUGGAGGCAGGCAGGGGAGAAUGGAAUUCCCGGUGUAGCGGUGAAAUGCGCAGAUAUCGGGAGGAACACCGGUGGCGAAGGCGGUUCUCUGGGCCUGUACUGACGCUGAGGAGCGAAAGCGUGGGGAGCGAACAGG
Molecule: ribosomal RNA, 253 nt
Filed under: uncultured bacterium
Lineage: Bacteria
Description: partial 16S ribosomal RNA
Rfam family: Bacterial small subunit ribosomal RNA
Source: RNAcentral